AACCCAUGAUGUGGGCACCAGUUAAGAAGGUCCUUGAACCAUUCAUGUGCUUUAAAUAGUUUUUCAUACUCUCCUUGCUUGAAUGUUGAGAUUUCCUGUCUUAUCUU
Dioscorea cayenensis subsp. rotundata (Guinea yam) is the source of this 107-nucleotide small nucleolar RNA. The record is from RefSeq and is a predicted model, not a curated record. Lineage: Eukaryota; Viridiplantae; Streptophyta; Magnoliopsida; Dioscoreales; Dioscoreaceae.